CAAUAGCGUAUAUUAAAGUUGUUGCAGUUAAAAAGCUCGUAGUUGGAUUUCUGGCAGGAGCGACCGGUCACACACUCUGUGUGUGAACUUGCGUUGUCUCUGGCCAUCCUUGGGAAGAUCCUGUUUGGCAUUAAGUUGUCGGGCAGGGGAUACCCAUCGUUUACUGUGAAAAAAUUAGAGUGUUUAAAGCAGGCUUAUGCCGUUGAAUAUAUUAGCAUGGAAUAAUAAGAUAGGACUUCGGAACUAUUUUGUUGGUUUGCGUUACGAAGUAAUGAUUAAUAGGGACAGUUGGGGGUAUUCGUAUUUCGUUGUCAGAGGUGAAAUUCUUGGAUUUCCGAAAGACGAACUACUGCGAAAGCAUUUACCAAGGAUGUUUUCGUUAA
This 383-nucleotide ribosomal RNA is filed under the name uncultured eukaryote. RNAcentral describes it as "partial 18S ribosomal RNA". It matches the Rfam family "Eukaryotic small subunit ribosomal RNA", at positions 592 to 976 of the family's 1831-position model. The record is from RNAcentral.